AAGGUUUUUGGAACGGAUAAAAAAUUAUUUAAAAAUGCAAUUAAUUGUAAUUACAUCAGCCAAUCGUGUUUCAACGGAAAGUAUGUUUAGUGAAUUAAAUUAAUUAAAGGGUAGCUUGAAAUAGAAAAAAAAUAAAUAAAAAAAUACACUUGAUAAUAAUAUAAAAAAUACACUUGACGCAAGAAUAAUCCCCAUGUUGCCAUUGAAAAGUAGGGUUAAACUUUUUGACAGCAAUUUGUUUAUUCAUACGUGCGAGUGGCGUAUGUUUAAGGUGUUUUAUUUCCAUAGAAUUACCGAGUAGACAAACUAUCAAUUAAAUUCGAGCUGAUUUUCGCGAUGGCAAAUACCGAAAGAAAGGGCACUUUCAAGGUAGAGUACCUUCUAAAGAUCGAAUCGGAAGUGCAGGAUCGUUGGAAAAA
Molecule: long non-coding RNA, 419 nt
Organism: Dendroctonus ponderosae (mountain pine beetle)
Lineage: Eukaryota; Metazoa; Arthropoda; Insecta; Coleoptera; Curculionidae
Exons: 2
Source: RefSeq, a predicted model, not a curated record